This 497-nucleotide ribosomal RNA is filed under the name uncultured bacterium. Its description in RNAcentral is "partial 16S ribosomal RNA". It matches the Rfam family "Bacterial small subunit ribosomal RNA", at positions 28 to 523 of the family's 1533-position model. The record is from RNAcentral.
GACGAACGCUGGCGGCGUGCCUAACACAUGCAAGUCGAGCGGAGAUAUUUGGAGGAAGUUUUCGGAUGGAAUCCAGAUAUUUUAGCGGCGGACGGGUGAGUAACGCGUGAGCAACCUGCCUUUCACAGGGGGAUAAGACGGCGAAAGCCGUUCUAAUACCGCAUGAGACCACAGAGAUGAUAUUUCAGGGGUCAAAGGAGCAAUCCGGUGAAAGAUGGGCUCGCGUCCGAUUAGGUAGUUGGUGAGGUAACGGCCAACCAAGCCAAUGAUCGGUAGCCGGCCUGAGAGGGUGAACGGCCACAUUGGAACUGAGAGACGGUCCAAACUCCUACGGGAGGCAGCAGUGGGGAAUAUUGGGCAAUGGGGGAAACCCUGACCCAGCAACGCCGCGUGAGGGAAGAAGGUUUUCGGAUUGUAAACCUCUGUUCUUGGAGAAGAGAAGAAGUCGGUAUCCAAGGAGGAAGCCCCGGCUAACUACGUGCCAGCAGCCGCGGUAA